AGCAGUCGCCGCGGUAAUACGUAGGUGGCAGGCGUUGUCCGGAAUUAUUGGGCGUAAAGGGCUCGCAGGCGGUUUCUUAAGUCUGAUGUGAAAGCCCCCGGCUCAACCGGGGAGGGUCAUUGGAAACUGGGAAACUUGAGUGCAGAAGAGGAGAGUGGAAUUCCACGUGUAGCGGUGAAAUGCGUAGAGAUGUGGAGGAACACCAGUGGCGAAGGCGACUCUCUGGUCUGUAACUGACGCUGAGGAGCGAAAGCGUGGGGAGCGAACAGGAUUAGAUACCCGUGUAGUCCCUGUCUCUUAUAC
This 303-nucleotide ribosomal RNA is filed under the name uncultured bacterium. Its description in RNAcentral is "partial 16S ribosomal RNA". It matches the Rfam family "Bacterial small subunit ribosomal RNA", at positions 507 to 807 of the family's 1533-position model. The record is from RNAcentral.